This 71-nucleotide transfer RNA is filed under the name Lotharella vacuolata. RNAcentral describes it as "tRNA-Asp". It matches the Rfam family "tRNA". From Rfam's summary of the family: Transfer RNA (tRNA) molecules are approximately 80 nucleotides in length. Their secondary structure includes four short double-helical elements and three loops (D, anti-codon, and T loops). RNAcentral also lists the same sequence under 1 other name. The record is from RNAcentral. Lineage: Eukaryota; Cercozoa; Chlorarachniophyceae.
GUCGUGGUAGUACAGUGGUAGUAUAUCUGCCUGUCACGCAGAAGGCCCGGGUUCGAUUCCCGUCCAUGACG